Bombina bombina (fire-bellied toad) is the source of this 112-nucleotide small nuclear RNA. RefSeq annotates it as U5 spliceosomal RNA. The record is from RefSeq and is a predicted model, not a curated record. NCBI's taxonomy places the organism in Eukaryota, Metazoa, Chordata, Amphibia, Anura, Bombinatoridae. The transcript has a single exon.
CUACUCUGGUUUCUCUUCAAACCUAAUAAAUCUUUUGCAUUUUACUAACGAUUUCUGUGGAAAACCACAAAUAUGAGUUAACAAUAAUUUUCGAGGUUCUACAUUUAGAGCU